RNAcentral lists this ribosomal RNA (115 nucleotides) under Jaculus jaculus (lesser Egyptian jerboa). Lineage: Eukaryota; Metazoa; Chordata; Mammalia; Rodentia; Dipodidae. The record is from RNAcentral.
GUCUAUGGCCAUACCACCCUGAAUGCACCUGAUUUCGUCUGAUCUCGGAAGCUAAGCAGAGUCAGGUGUGGUUAACAUUUGGGUGGGAGAAGAGAAGAGCAACAUUCCCCAUGCU